Molecule: unclassified non-coding RNA, 438 nt
Filed under: Hevea brasiliensis (rubber tree)
Lineage: Eukaryota; Viridiplantae; Streptophyta; Magnoliopsida; Malpighiales; Euphorbiaceae
Source: RNAcentral
AUACUGGCCCUGGCUAUUAUCUGGCUUCUCCAAAUCUGGUGAAAUCAAGAAUGCUAACCCUUCGGCAGCUGUUUCAUUAUUUGGUCUGUAAAUAUUGACAAGAAAAGAAGAGUUGAAAGAUGCAACCCUUGUUGUAUUGUCGAAAACAUCACCAUCCCAGAGCUUAAAUGGUUGCUUAAAGAGGAUUCUUCCUGAGUUAUUGUAGCGAUUGAAAUCUGAAGAAGCAGAAUCAGGGGUUACUUGAAGAGCAGCGUUACUAAUUGUUGCAGGCUUUUCAACUUCAAAGAUGUCAAAGAAAGUUUCAUCAAAAGAUGCAUAUUUUAAGUUGAGAUGUUCCAUUUUCUGAGCUUGAAGCUUGAGUUGAAGUAAAGAGAAGAGCAUGAUGAAAAUGGUGAGUGUUGUUGGUGUUAACAACCCCAUUUUUCAUCAGCAGUGAGU